This 163-nucleotide ribosomal RNA is filed under the name Salmonella enterica. Its description in RNAcentral is "partial 23S ribosomal RNA". It matches the Rfam family "Bacterial large subunit ribosomal RNA", at positions 2768 to 2925 of the family's 2925-position model. The record is from RNAcentral. RNAcentral also lists the same sequence under 2 other names. Lineage: Bacteria; Pseudomonadati; Pseudomonadota; Gammaproteobacteria; Enterobacterales; Enterobacteriaceae.
GUGCUGAAAGCAUCUAAGCACGAAACUUGCCCCGAGAUGAGUUCUCCCUGAGACUUUAGGUCUCCUGAAGGAACGUUGAAGACGACGACGUUGAUAGGCCGGGUGUGUAAGCGCAGCGAUGCGUUGAGCUAACCGGUACUAAUGAACCGUGAGGCUUAACCUU